CUAUGGGUAUGACAAUAAGUCAUUGGUUGUGAUUUUUAAGUAAUUUUUAUUUUAUAUGUAUGAGUGUAUUGCCUCCAUGUAUAAGUGCACCCAUGUUGUAUAAUGUAUGUAAAGAUCAAAAGAGGGUGGGGCUGGAGAGAUGACUCAGUGGUGAAGAACACUGGUUGUUCUCGCAGAAGACCCAGGUUCAAAUCCUAGCAUCCACAUGGCAGCUAACGACUGCUCAUAACUCCAGUUCCAGGGGAUUCAAUGGCCUCUUCUGUCCUCUGCGGGCAUUGCACGGCAGGGGUGCACUUACCUACAUGCAGGCAAUACACUCAUACACAUAAAAUAAAAAUAAUAAAUAAAAUAUUUUUUAAAAGAUCAAUAGAGUGUAUGUGGUCCCCUAGAACAGGCAAUAAGGACGGUUGUUAGCUGCCACAUUGGUGCUGGGAACCAAACCUGGGCUCUCUGCAAGAACAGUCAGUGCUCUUAACCACUGAACCAUGUCUCCAACCCCUAGACGUCAUUUUGAUCCUGUAACUAUUCAGUGACAACUAGUAUUAGACUCUCCCCUAUGCUCUGUGACCUAUCUAGUCUCACAUUCCUAAGCCCAAUAUCAAUGUCAGAUAUGGGCUCUAUCUUAUAAAGUGGACUUUAAAUUCAAUUAGAGAGUGGUUGGUUACUCCCAUAGUAUUCAUGCCACUGUUGCACUGGUGGGCAUAUCUUGCCAGGCCAGUUAUUAUUGUAGCUCACAGGAUUCACAGCUGGGUAGGACUGAUGAUUAUUUUCUUCCUUCUUGUAGCAUGCAUAGCACCUUCCAACACUAUGAAAGCUAUCCAGUAGAGAUGUGACUCUGAAGUCAGCAUGAGCUUAAUGUCUUCUUGUUUGUUCUAUAGCUAAUGUAUAUAGUGUGUUCAGUACCAUGCUAUUUUGAUGAUUUCAUUUUUGGCUUUGUUGUAUAACUUGAAAACAGUUAUUGUAAUAUCUCCAAUAUUUUUCUUUUACCCAGGAUUGCUUUGGUUUUCUGGAGUCUUUUGUGCUUCUGUAUAUUUUAUACUUGUUCUGUUUCUCCAAAGAAUGCCAUUGGAAUUUUGGCCAGGACCUUACCCAUGAGAUACUACUGACUGCCCACAUUCAAGGUGAGUCUUCUCUUUUCAGUUAAACCUUUUUGGAAACACCCUCAUAGACACACACCAGAGGUGUGUUUCUCUGAUGGUUCGGUCCUGUCAAGUUGCCAAUACACUUAACCAUUACAGUAAGAUAGCCAUUUUCAGUGUAUUAAUUACCAAUGCAUGAGCAUGGGAUCUUUCCA
RNAcentral lists this long non-coding RNA (1294 nucleotides) under Nannospalax galili (Upper Galilee mountains blind mole rat). Its description in RNAcentral is "lncRNA (ENSNGAG00000024577.1)". Lineage: Eukaryota; Metazoa; Chordata; Mammalia; Rodentia; Spalacidae. The record is from RNAcentral.